Molecule: microRNA precursor, 136 nt
Filed under: Hordeum vulgare
Lineage: Eukaryota; Viridiplantae; Streptophyta; Magnoliopsida; Poales; Poaceae
Description: microRNA MIR1122
Rfam family: MIR1120/MIR1122 microRNA precursor family
Source: RNAcentral
GAAGUACUACCUCCGUCUCAAAAUUCUUGCCUUUCAUUUGUCUAAAUAUGAAUGUAUCUAGUCAUGUAUUAGUAUUUAGAUACAUCUAUUUCUAAACAAAUCUAAGACAAUAAUUUUGGGACGGAGGGAGUAGUAC